GACGAACGCUGGCGGCGUGCCUAAUACAUGCAAGUAGAACGCUGAAGAGAGGAGCUUGCUCUUCUUGGAUGAGUUGCGAACGGGUGAGUAACGCGUAGGUAACCUGCCUUGUAGCGGGGGAUAACUAUUGGAAACGAUAGCUAAUACCGCAUAACAAUGAAUGACUCAUGUCAUUUAUUUGAAAGGGGCAAUUGCUCCACUACAAGAUGGACCUGCGUUGUAUUAGCUAGUAGGUGAGGUAACGGCUCACCUAGGCGACGAUACAUAGCCGACCUGAGAGGGUGAUCGGCCACACUGGGACUGAGACACGGCCCAGACUCCUACGGGAGGCAGCAGUAGGGAAUCUUCGGCAAUGGGGGCAACCCUGACCGAGCAACGCCGCGCGAGUGGAGAAGGUUUUCGGAUCGUAAAGCUCUGUUGUAAGUCAAGAACGAGUGUGAGAGUGGAAAAUUCACACUGUGACGGUAGCUUACCAGAAAGG
Molecule: ribosomal RNA, 481 nt
Filed under: Streptococcus sp. oral taxon C65
Lineage: Bacteria; Bacillati; Bacillota; Bacilli; Lactobacillales; Streptococcaceae
Description: bacterial SSU rRNA
Rfam family: Bacterial small subunit ribosomal RNA
Source: RNAcentral